RNAcentral lists this ribosomal RNA (251 nucleotides) under uncultured prokaryote. RNAcentral's name for it is "partial 16S rRNA". It matches the Rfam family "Bacterial small subunit ribosomal RNA", at positions 525 to 775 of the family's 1533-position model. The record is from RNAcentral.
ACGUAUGGGGCUAGCGUUGUUCGGAAUUAUUGGGCGUAAAGGGCGUCUAGGUGGUGGGUUAAGUGGCGUGUGAAAUCCCUGGGCUCAACCCAGGAACUGCCUCCAAAACUGGCUCGCUUGAGUUUGGGAGAGGAGAGCGGAAUUCCCGGUGUAGCGGUGAAAUGCGUAGAUAUCAGGAAGAACACCAGUGGCGAAGGCGGCUCUCUGGCCUAGAACUGACGCUGAUGCGCGAAAGCGUGGGUAGCGAACAG